GACGAACGCUGGCGGCGUGCCUAAUACAUGCAAGUAGAACGCUGAAGGAGGAGCUUGCUCUUCUGGAUGAGUUGCGAACGGGUGAGUAACGCGUAGGUAACCUGCCUGGUAGCGGGGGAUAACUAUUGGAAACGAUAGCUAAUACCGCAUAAGAGUAGAUGUUGCAUGACAUUUGCUUAAAAGGUGCAAUUGCAUCACUACCAGAUGGACCUGCGUUGUAUUAGCUAGUUGGUGGGGUAACGGCUCACCAAGGCGACGAUACAUAGCCGACCUGGGAGGGGGGUCGGCAACACUGGGACUGUGACACGGCCCAGACGCCUACGGGAGGCAGCAGUCGCGAAUCUUCGGCGAUGGACGGAAGUCUGACCGAGCAACGCCGCGUGAGUGAGGAAGGUUUUCGGAUCGUAAAGCUCUGUUGUAAGGGAAGAACGAGUGUGAGAGUGGAAAGUUCACACUGUGACGGUAUCUUAUCAGAAAGGGACGGCUAACUACGUG
RNAcentral lists this ribosomal RNA (495 nucleotides) under uncultured bacterium. RNAcentral's name for it is "partial 16S ribosomal RNA". It matches the Rfam family "Bacterial small subunit ribosomal RNA", at positions 28 to 507 of the family's 1533-position model. The record is from RNAcentral.